Long non-coding RNA from Corvus hawaiiensis (hawaiian crow), 496 nucleotides. RefSeq lists it as uncharacterized. The transcript has 4 exons. The record is from RefSeq and is a predicted model, not a curated record. NCBI's taxonomy places the organism in Eukaryota, Metazoa, Chordata, Aves, Passeriformes, Corvidae.
UGAUGCCCAGGCCAAUGUUGUGACAUGAACCUCAGUGUCAGGGAGGUGACAUGUUAAUGCUGCUGCUAUCAGACAGUGCCCACACACUGUGUCUGGAGACAGCUCAGGAGAAGAUGAAGAAAUCCAGGAUUAAAUCCCAUGUGCUUCUGAACUCUAUCAGAAACUGCUUGGAGUGAAGUCUGUGGAGUGACUUGGGAGGGCUGGACAGAAGGCACAGCUCUGAGACGUGCGUGGUACAUCAGUGACGUCCUAAUAAUGGUCUUUGCACAGGGAUGAAAAAGUAUCAGUUUGCAUGGCCUGAAUGUCUGGGUCUGGAAAUUCUGCAUGUUGCACGAGCUGUGCUGAGCUCAUUUGGCUCUGAAAUUUCAUCUCUGCACCUUAGGCAGGAACGACAUCAGAGUCCUGAAAUGAUUAAUAAAAAUCAGUCAUAACCCAGAAGCAAAUCUUGGCAAUACAUGUCUGUGGCAGGUUUGGCUGUUUGAAAGGAAGCUUGGCA